This 448-nucleotide long non-coding RNA is filed under the name Physcomitrium patens. Its description in RNAcentral is "long non-coding RNA (PPAT_LNC011160)". The record is from RNAcentral. Lineage: Eukaryota; Viridiplantae; Streptophyta; Bryopsida; Funariales; Funariaceae.
CAAUAGACUUCAAUCACAUUUUAGACUAAACCUUAAAUCUUGAAUCCUAAAUCCUAUGUAAAUUCUAAAUCUUAAAAAAAUCCUAAAUCCUAAAUCCUAAGUAAAUCCUAAAUUAAAUCUUAAAUCCUAAUUCAAUCCUAAAUUCUAAUCAAAUCUUAAAUCCUAAUCCAAUCCUAAUCAUAAAUUAAAUUUUAACUAAAAUCUAAUCCAAAUUAUAAAUACUAAUCAAAUUUUAAUCAAAUUUUAAGAAAAUCUUAAAUCCUAAAUUUGAAAAAAAUUCUUAAUUCUAAAUCCUAAGCAAACCUUAAAUCCUAAAUCCUGAGAAAAUCUUAAGUAAAUUCUAUAUCCUAAAUCCUAAGAAAAUCUUAAAGCAAACCAUAAAUCCUAGUCCAACCAUAAAUCCUAACCAAAUCUUGAUCAAAUCCUAAAACCUACCCAACCCUAAUAC